GAUGAACGCUGGCGGCGUGCCUAAUACAUGCAAGUCGAACGAAACUUCUUUAUCACCGAGUGCUUGCACUCACCGAUAAAGAGCUGAGUGGCGAACGGGUGAGUAACACGUGGGCAACCUGCCCAAAAGAGGGGGAUAACACUUGGAAACAGGUGCUAAUACCGCAUAACCAUAGUUACCGCAUGGUAACUAUGUAAAAGGUGGCUAUACUACCGCUUUUGGAUGGGCCCGCGGCGCAUUAGCUAGUUGGUAGGGUAAAGGCUUACCAAGGCAAUGAUGCGUAGCCGAAUUGAGAGGUUGAUCGGCCACAUUGGGACUGAGACACGGCCCAAACUCCUACGGGAGGCAGCAGUAGGGAAUCUUCCACAAUGGGCGAAAGCCUGAUGGAGCAACGCCGCGUGGGUGAAGAAGGUCUUCGGAUCGUAAAACCCUGUUGUUAGAGAAGAAAGUGCGUGAGAGUAACUGUUCACGUUUCGACGGUAUCUAACCAGAAAGCCACGGCUAACUACGUG
This 512-nucleotide ribosomal RNA is filed under the name uncultured bacterium. Its description in RNAcentral is "partial 16S ribosomal RNA". It matches the Rfam family "Bacterial small subunit ribosomal RNA", at positions 28 to 507 of the family's 1533-position model. The record is from RNAcentral.